GGCUCAAUGGUCUAGUAGUAUGAUACUCGCUUUGGGAUUUGAUCUUCGGAUCCGAAUGCGCUGCGAGUGGUCUCGGGUUCAAUUCCCGAUUGAGCCC
Molecule: non-coding RNA, 97 nt
Organism: Dentipellis sp. KUC8613
Lineage: Eukaryota; Fungi; Basidiomycota; Agaricomycetes; Russulales; Hericiaceae
Source: the annotation of a GenBank genome assembly